Molecule: microRNA precursor, 108 nt
Filed under: Eutrema salsugineum
Lineage: Eukaryota; Viridiplantae; Streptophyta; Magnoliopsida; Brassicales; Brassicaceae
Description: MIR397 microRNA precursor family
Rfam family: MIR397 microRNA precursor family
Source: Rfam by way of RNAcentral
UGAACGAACGUCAUUGAGUGCAGCGUUGAUGUAAUUUACUUUGUUUUUCCUCACUGUUGAAUAAAGUUAAAGUAAUUUACACCAGCGUUGCGCUCAAUUGUGUUUUUC